GGCUGGUCCGAUGGUAGUGGGUAUGAGAACUCACUAACAUUAGUGUCACUAAAGUCGGUGUUCAACCCCCACUGCUAAAUUUGGCUGGCUUUAA
Molecule: Y RNA, 94 nt
Filed under: Propithecus coquereli (Coquerel's sifaka)
Lineage: Eukaryota; Metazoa; Chordata; Mammalia; Primates; Indriidae
Description: Y RNA (ENSPCOG00000002080.1)
Rfam family: Y RNA
About the family: Y RNAs are components of the Ro ribonucleoprotein particle (Ro RNP), in association with Ro60 and La proteins.
Source: Rfam by way of RNAcentral